RNAcentral lists this ribosomal RNA (3202 nucleotides) under Saccharomyces cerevisiae (brewer's yeast). It matches the Rfam family "Bacterial large subunit ribosomal RNA". Lineage: Eukaryota; Fungi; Ascomycota; Saccharomycetes; Saccharomycetales; Saccharomycetaceae. The record is from RNAcentral.
AUAAUCAUGGAGUAUAAUAAUUAAAUUUAAUAAAUUUAAUAUAACUAUUAAUAGAAUUAGGUUACUAAUAAAUUAAUAACAAUUAAUUUUAAAACCUAAAGGUAAACCUUUAUAUUAAUAAUGUUUUUUUUUAUUAUUUUUAUAAUAAGAAUAAUUAUUAAUAAUAAUAAACUAAGUGAACUGAAACAUCUAAGUAACUUAAGGAUAAGAAAUCAACAGAGAUAUUAUGAGUAUUGGUGAGAGAAAAUAAUAAAGGUCUAAUAAGUAUUAUGUGAAAAAAAUGUAAGAAAAUAGGAUAACAAAUUCUAAGACUAAAUACUAUUAAUAAGUAUAGUAAGUACCGUAAGGGAAAGUAUGAAAAUGAUUAUUUUAUAAGCAAUCAUGAAUAUAUUAUAUUAUAUUAAUGAUGUACCUUUUGUAUAAUGGGUCAGCAAGUAAUUAAUAUUAGUAAAACAAUAAGUUAUAAAUAAAUAGAAUAAUAUAUAUAUAUAUAAAAAUAUAUUAAAAUAUUUAAUUAAUAUUAAUUGACCCGAAAGCAAACGAUCUAACUAUGAUAAGAUGGAUAAACGAUCGAACAGGUUGAUGUUGCAAUAUCAUCUGAUUAAUUGUGGUUAGUAGUGAAAGACAAAUCUGGUUUGCAGAUAGCUGGUUUUCUAUGAAAUAUAUGUAAGUAUAGCCUUUAUAAAUAAUAAUUAUUAUAUAAUAUUAUAUUACUCCUUUCGGGGUUCCGGCUCCCGUGGCCGGGCCCCGGAACUAUUAUAUAAAGAAUGGUACAGCAAUUAAUAUAUAUUAGGGAACUAUUAAAGUUUUAUUAAUAAUAUUAAAUCUCGAAAUAUUUAAUUAUAUAUAAUAAAGAGUCAGAUUAUGUGCGAUAAGGUAAAUAAUCUAAAGGGAAACAGCCCAGAUUAAGAUAUAAAGUUCCUAAUAAAUAAUAAGUGAAAUAAAUAUUAAAAUAUUAUAAUAUAAUCAGUUAAUGGGUUUGACAAUAACCAUUUUUUAAUGAACAUGUAACAAUGCACUGAUUUAUAAUAAAUAAAAAAAAAUAAUAUUUAAAAUCAAAUAUAUAUAUAUUUGUUAAUAGAUAAUAUACGGAUCUUAAUAAUAAGAAUUAUUUAAUUCCUAAUAUGGAAUAUUAUAUUUUUAUAAUAAAAAUAUAAAUACUGAAUAUCUAAAUAUUAUUAUUACUUUUUUUUUAAUAAUAAUAAUAUGGUAAUAGAACAUUUAAUGAUAAUAUAUAUUAGUUAUUAAUUAAUAUAUGUAUUAAUUAAAUAGAGAAUGCUGACAUGAGUAACGAAAAAAAGGUAUAAACCUUUUCACCUAAAACAUAAGGUUUAACUAUAAAAGUACGGCCCCUAAUUAAAUUAAUAAGAAUAUAAAUAUAUUUAAGAUGGGAUAAUCUAUAUUAAUAAAAAUUUAUCUUAAAAUAUAUAUAUUAUUAAUAAUUAUAUUAAUAAUAUAUAUAAUUAUAUUAUAUAUUUUUUUUUUUAUAUAAUAUAAACUAAUAAAGAUCAGGAAAUAAUUAAUGUAUACCGUAAUGUAGACCGACUCAGGUAUGUAAGUAGAGAAUAUGAAGGUGAAUUAGAUAAUUAAAGGGAAGGAACUCGGCAAAGAUAGCUCAUAAGUUAGUCAAUAAAGAGUAAUAAGAACAAAGUUGUACAACUGUUUACUAAAAACACCGCACUUUGCAGAAACGAUAAGUUUAAGUAUAAGGUGUGAACUCUGCUCCAUGCUUAAUAUAUAAAUAAAAUUAUUUAACGAUAAUUUUAUUAAAUUUAGGUAAAUAGCAGCCUUAUUAUGAGGGUUAUAAUGUAGCGAAAUUCCUUGGCCUAUAAUUGAGGUCCCGCAUGAAUGACGUAAUGAUACAACAACUGUCUCCCCUUUAAGCUAAGUGAAAUUGAAAUCGUAGUGAAGAUGCUAUGUACCUUCAGCAAGACGGAAAGACCCUAUGCAGCUUUACUGUAAUUAGAUAGAUCGAAUUAUUGUUUAUUAUAUUCAGCAUAUUAAGUAAUCCUAUUAUUAGGUAAUCGUUUAGAUAUUAAUGAGAUACUUAUUAUAAUAUAAUGAUAAUUCUAAUCUUAUAAAUAAUUAUUAUUAUUAUUAUUAAUAAUAAUAAUAUGCUUUCAAGCAUAGUGAUAAAACAUAUUUAUAUGAUAAUCACUUUACUUAAUAGAUAUAAUUCUUAAGUAAUAUAUAAUAUAUAUUUUAUAUAUAUUAUAUAUAAUAUAAGAGACAAUCUCUAAUUGGUAGUUUUGAUGGGGCGUCAUUAUCAGCAAAAGUAUCUGAAUAAGUCCAUAAAUAAAUAUAUAAAAUUAUUGAAUAAAAAAAAUAAUAUAUAUUAUAUAUAUUAAUUAUAAAUUGAAAUAUGUUUAUAUAAAUUUAUAUUUAUUGAAUAUAUUUUAGUAAUAGAUAAAAAUAUGUACAGUAAAAUUGUAAGGAAAACAAUAAUAACUUUCUCCUCUCUCGGUGGGGGUUCACACCUAUUUUUAAUAGGUGUUCACCCCUCUUCGGGGUUCCGGUUCCCUUUCGGGUCCCGGAACUUAAAUAAAAAUGGAAAGAAUUAAAUUAAUAUAAUGGUAUAACUGUGCGAUAAUUGUAACACAAACGAGUGAAACAAGUACGUAAGUAUGGCAUAAUGAACAAAUAACACUGAUUGUAAAGGUUAUUGAUAACGAAUAAAAGUUACGCUAGGGAUAACAGGGUAAUAUAACGAAAGAGUAGAUAUUGUAAGUUAUGUUUGCCACCUCGAUGUCGACUCAACAUUUCCUCUUGGUUGUAAAAGCUAAGAAGGGUUUGACUGUUCGUCAAUUAAAAUGUUACGUGAGUUGGGUUAAAUACGAUGUGAAUCAGUAUGGUUCCUAUCUGCUGAAGGAAAUAUUAUCAAAUUAAAUCUCAUUAUUAGUACGCAAGGACCAUAAUGAAUCAACCCAUGGUGUAUCUAUUGAUAAUAAUAUAAUAUAUUUAAUAAAAAUAAUACUUUAUUAAUAUAUUAUCUAUAUUAGUUUAUAUUUUAAUUAUAUAUUAUCAUAGUAGAUAAGCUAAGUUGAUAAUAAAUAAAUAUUGAAUACAUAUUAAAUAUGAAGUUGUUUUAAUAAGAUAAUUAAUCUGAUAAUUUUAUACUAAAAUUAAUAAUUAUAGGUUUUAUAUAUUAUUUAUAAAUAAAUAUAUUAUAAUAAUAAUAAUUAUUAUUAUUAAUAAAAAAUAU